UCCCUGGUGGUCCAGUGGUUAAGACUCCGUUCUUCUAAUGCAGGGGGCCCUGGUUUGAUCCCUGGUUGGGGAA
RNAcentral lists this transfer RNA (73 nucleotides) under Bos taurus (domestic cattle). It matches the Rfam family "tRNA". Rfam says of the family: Transfer RNA (tRNA) molecules are approximately 80 nucleotides in length. The record is from Rfam by way of RNAcentral. RNAcentral also lists the same sequence under 3 other names. Lineage: Eukaryota; Metazoa; Chordata; Mammalia; Artiodactyla; Bovidae.